RNAcentral lists this ribosomal RNA (430 nucleotides) under uncultured bacterium. RNAcentral's name for it is "partial 16S ribosomal RNA". It matches the Rfam family "Bacterial small subunit ribosomal RNA", at positions 31 to 507 of the family's 1533-position model. The record is from RNAcentral.
GAACGCUGGCGGCAGGCCUAACACAUGCAAGUCGAACGAACUCUUCGGAGUUAGUGGCGGACGGGUGAGUAACACGUGGGCACGUGCCUUUAGGUUCGGAAUAACUCAGGGAAACUUGUGCUAAUACCGAAUGUGCCCUUCGGGGGAAAGAUUUAUCGCCUUUAGAGCGGCCCGCGUCUGAUUAGCUAGUUGGUGAGGUAAAGGCUCACCAAGGCGACGAUCAGUAGCUGGUCUGAGAGGAUGAUCAGCCACAUUGGGACUGAGACACGGCCCAAACUCCUACGGGAAGCAGCAGUGGGGAAUCUUGCGCAAUGGGCGAAAGCCUGACGCAGCCAUGCCGCGUGAAUGAUGAAGGUCUUAGGAUUGUAAAAUUCUUUCACCGGGGACGAUAAUGACGGUACCCGGAGAAGAAGCCCCGGCUAACUUCGUG